Rattus norvegicus (Norway rat) is the source of this 125-nucleotide small nucleolar RNA. Ensembl annotates it as small nucleolar RNA SNORA17. The record is from Ensembl. Lineage: Eukaryota; Metazoa; Chordata; Mammalia; Rodentia; Muridae.
ACUGCCCCUAGAGCAUUGCAGGCAUGGCUGCAGUGUCACAUGUGUGCCAGUAGGUGGCAGUGAAGAGAAAGUCCAUGCUCAAUGUUCUGACCAGUGAACAUCUCAAUAAUCAGAAGCUUAACCUU